This 1416-nucleotide long non-coding RNA is filed under the name Gallus gallus (chicken). RNAcentral describes it as "lncRNA (ENSGALG00010026000.1)". The record is from RNAcentral. Lineage: Eukaryota; Metazoa; Chordata; Aves; Galliformes; Phasianidae.
CAGAAAUGAGUCCUUUAUGCAGAAUUAUUCUGCUGUGUGCGUGCACGUGUAUUUUGCUAGCUGAUCUCAGUUGUUCUUUAUGAACUAAAUGAUGCUGUAAGACAGUGGAAAGAAAGAUAUACUGCUUUAAAAUGAUUGUUCUUUAACAAGUAGGACUCCUCUGAAAGCACAUCUUGGUUUAGUUAAUCUAUUUAAUUGAAAAGAAGUCAGUCAGAUUUGUCUGUAAAGGUUUAUCUCAAACUUCUUAAUUCCAGAAACACGUCAUUUUAGUGAUCAUUUGAUUGGAAGAGCUGAGGUUUAAGCAAAGACAUGAAUUAAACAGCAGAACUGGCAUUCAAUUCUGGAAGCUGGUAAAAAGUGUUUCUGUUUGCAGAGUAGAUGUCCGGAGUGCUGUGGAUUGGCUUGGAACAGUUGGGUCAGGAUCCGAAUGACAGGGAAGAUCCACCACACGUGCCAGGACAGUGAGAGCUCAAAGAAUCAGGCCAUGAUUAUCAGAGCUGAGUGAAAGUCAAGAGAGGAAGAGCCUCAAGGAUCGUUCAAAGAUUAUCAGAUCAAGAUCAUCACAUUGUACCAAACGGGCUCUCAGUCCCCUGUGUGGGUACACACACCACGCAUGUAUGGAUUUUAUUUUAUCCCGGGCUGCCACAUGCAUUUGCCAGCCUGGGAGAUGCCUCUCAGAGCACUCCUGAUCACCCCGUGAGCCUGAGCUGGUGCGGAGGAGGGAAGCGGGGAUUUAUGCAGCGUAUAUGGGAAACCCCCACAGGGCCCCUUUGCAGAACUCUGGCUUCCAGGCCGGCUGCCAAGCAUUAACUACAAUACUUGCGCUUGUUUUUGACAACAGCACGCAGGUUGUAUUUCACCCAUUGCUAUUUUGGUUUUGGAGUUAUGGCAGAAAUGUCUCUGGGUGCUGGCCUGGUAUAAGCGGAGUGGGAGAUUUACUCUUAUUGUGUAAUGUCACCUUUCAGUCGGUGCUUGCAGUGAAAAUUAUGGAGUGUCACUUGUUCUUUUUAUUAAAUUUCAAGGCUGUGCACCUCUCGUGUGGGAAGUGUAACUCUGUCCCGCUUCUGCUUCGAGUGGUAGCCUCAGCUGUUGGGCACCUUUUAAAACAUGAAUUCAUCUUUUUUUUUUUUCUUUUUCCUUUCUCUGCUUUUUAUCAAAAUGUUGAGACCAGCAGCAGCCGUUGCCAUGCUCCGAACUGCUGCCUGUGAUGAUGGAUGAGUUUGGCCCCAAAAGCACGGAGAGAUACUGGACUCAGCACAACACAGAUGUUGCAAUGCAGCCAAAUUAAGCUGUUGUGGGAAUGUGCAAGUUGGGCCUUAGUCAGAGUAUCUCAUGCCUGCCUGCCUCGCUGAAAAGCAAGAGCGAAAUAUUAGCAGCUGACCUGGUGGGAUAUACACUUGCCCAAAAUAUUCUGCU